UACGUAGGGUGCAAGCGUUGUCCGGAAUUAUUGGGCGUAAAGAGCUCGUAGGCGGUCUGUUGCGUCGGCUGUGAAAACCCGAGGCUCAACCUCGGGCCUGCAGCCGAUACGGGCAGACUAGAGUUCGGCAGGGGAGACUGGAAUUCCUGGUGUAGCGGUGAAAUGCGCAGAUAUCAGGAGGAACACCGGUGGCGAAGGCGGGUCUCUGGGCCGAUACUGACGCUGAGGAGCGAAAGCGUGGGGAGCGAUCCGG
Molecule: ribosomal RNA, 253 nt
Filed under: uncultured bacterium
Lineage: Bacteria
Description: partial 16S ribosomal RNA
Rfam family: Bacterial small subunit ribosomal RNA
Source: RNAcentral